UACGGAGGGUGCAAGCGUUAUCCGGAUUCACUGGGUUUAAAGGGUGCGUAGGUGGGUCUGUAAGUCAGUGGUGAAAUCUCCGAGCUUAACUCGGAAACUGCCAUUGAUACUAUAGAUCUUGAAUUAUCUGGAGGUAAGCGGAAUAUGUCAUGUAGCGGUGAAAUGCUUAGAUAUGACAUAGAACACCAAUUGCGAAGGCAGCUUACUACGGAUGGAUUGACACUGAGGCACGAAAGCGUGGGGAUCAAACAGG
This 253-nucleotide ribosomal RNA is filed under the name uncultured bacterium. Its description in RNAcentral is "partial 16S ribosomal RNA". It matches the Rfam family "Bacterial small subunit ribosomal RNA", at positions 524 to 776 of the family's 1533-position model. The record is from RNAcentral.